UUUCAAUUCAUCAAAACCCUAGUAAUCGAUUCCAAUUCUCGUUUUACUGUAUCCAAUCAUCAAUUCAUUGAGCUUCUUAGUCUCCCUUUGUCAUGAUCAAACCCUAUUCGCUUGCUCUAAGUCACUGGGUUUGCAUCCACUGAUCAUAUCAGAAGCUCGAAUUUUCAAAUAUCACUGGGUUUGUCUCCCAAAGAUCAUAUCAGAAGCUCGAGAAACUUGCAAAUUAAAAGAGAGAAAGCAGGCUUGACCAUUCAAGAUUACAGAAGGUAAUGGAAAUGGAUGGAAGCAAGCGUGUGUUCCAGCGGCUAGGCCCUUCUUCACAAGGGGACACCAGUAAUAAUAAACAGCAAAAAGUUUGUUUUCAUUGGAGGGCUGGAAGAUGUAACAGGUUUCCAUGUCCGUUCUUACAUAGAGAAUUACCGGGACCGCCACAGCAGCAGCAACAUGCGGCGGGGAAUGGAAUGUCGUCGUCGAAGCGGCCUCAUGGGUUUUCUGAUGAUAAUCGAGGUUCGGGAAUGCGGAGAAAUCCGAAUUUUAACAAUACAUGGGGGAGAACUGCGGCUGGCGGAGGUGCAGUUGUGAGGAAGACUGAAAAAGUUUGUAAUUAUUGGGUUAAAGGGAAUUGUACAUAUGGAAACACCUGUAGGUAUUUGCAUUCAUGGACUACUGGGGACUGCUUCACAUUGUUGACAACACUUGAAGGGCACCAAAAGGUUGUUACAGGGAUUGCUUUGCCAUCAGGCUCGGAUAAGCUUUAUUCAGGGAGUACGGACAAGUCAGUACGAGUGUGGGAUUGCCAGUCUGGGCAGUGUGCAGGGGUUGUCAAUUUUGAUGGUGAAGUAGGUUCUAUGCUGAGUGAAGGCCCAUGGAUUUUUGUGGGUUUAACUAAUCUUGUCAAGGCAUGGAAUACUCAAACAGGAACUGACCUCAGUCUUAAUGGGCCAGUUGGACAAGUCUAUGCUCUUGUUGUUGGCAAUGAUAUGCUCCUUGCUGGUACGGAGGAUGGUAUAUUGGCAUGGAAAUAUAAUGGGAGCACCAAUAAUUUUGAUCCAAUCAAAGCAUUGACAGGACACAGCCAUCAUGUGGUAUCACUGGUCGUUGGAGCUAAUAGACUAUAUUCUGGUUCCAUGGACAAUUCAAUAAGAGUGUGGAACCUUGAAACAUUAGAGUGCUUACAGAUCUUGACAGAUCAUACAAGUGUUGUUAUGUCUGUUCUAUGCUGGGAUCAGUUUCUUUUAUCAUGUUCACUGGACAAAACGAUAAAGGUCUGGGCUGCUAAUGAUAGUGGGAACUUGGAGGUUACAUAUACUCAUCAAGAGGAUUGUGGAGUGCUUACUCUCUGUGGCAUGCAUGAUUCAGAAGCAAAGCCUGUAUUGCUCUGCUCGCGCAAUGACAACACCAUUCGUGUCUAUGAUUUGCCAUCCUUUUCUGAGAGGGGGAAGAUAUUCUCUAAGGAGGGUGUCCGUCGAAUAGAGAUUGGUCCUGCUGGUUUAUUUUUUACUGGUGAUGAAUCAGGUCAAGUUAGAGUGUGGAAGUGGUCAACUGAAUCCAGCAGUACAUCUUGAGAGGAUCAACACAUUUACGGCGACAACAUUUCUUUGUUGCUGGCCAGCAAUUAUCUUAUUUUUCUUCUCCCAGUGAGAGAAUGUACCAAGCAAGGAACAUAUAAUAAGAUAAAGAAGUACCAGUUUUGGUUUUCAGAGGUAGCUAGCUUAGAGCCUUGCCAUUUAGUUGCUUUUAACUAGUGAGCUCUCGAUGGGUUCCAGGCAUAUUUUUUCCUAGUCUGGUUUGUACUCAAAAUCAUGAUAAUCGUGUAAAUCUCUGAAGGACAUUUCUGGUCUCCCGUCCUGUAUUGUUUUUCACGAGUUAUGGAUGUAGCUCAAAAAUCGUGUGUUCCUUGAAUAAGUUUGCUAAUGUAUGCAUUAGUGUUGCACAGUG
Molecule: unclassified non-coding RNA, 1938 nt
Filed under: Hevea brasiliensis (rubber tree)
Lineage: Eukaryota; Viridiplantae; Streptophyta; Magnoliopsida; Malpighiales; Euphorbiaceae
Source: RNAcentral